CAGUAGCCACGGGAAUACGGAGGGAGCUAGCGUUGUUCGGAAUUACUGGGCGUAAAGCGCACGUAGGCGGCUUUGUAAGUUAGAGGUGAAAGCCUGGAGCUCAACUCCAGAACUGCCUUUAAGACUGCAUCGCUUGAAUCCAGGAGAGGUGAGUGGAAUUCCGAGUGUAGAGGUGAAAUUCGUAGAUAUUCGGAAGAACACCAGUGGCGAAGGCGGCUCACUGGACUGGUAUUGACGCUGAGGUGCGAAAGCGUGGGGAGCAAACAGGAUUAGAGACCCCUGUAGUCCCUGUCUCUUAUAC
This 301-nucleotide ribosomal RNA is filed under the name uncultured bacterium. Its description in RNAcentral is "partial 16S ribosomal RNA". It matches the Rfam family "Bacterial small subunit ribosomal RNA", at positions 509 to 807 of the family's 1533-position model. The record is from RNAcentral.